This 357-nucleotide ribosomal RNA is filed under the name uncultured soil bacterium. Its description in RNAcentral is "bacterial SSU rRNA". It matches the Rfam family "Bacterial small subunit ribosomal RNA", at positions 8 to 352 of the family's 1533-position model. The record is from RNAcentral.
AGAGUUUGAUCAUGGCUCAGGACGAACGCUGGCGGCGUGCCUAACACAUGCAAGUCGAACGAGUCCACUCUUUCGGGAGUGAGGCGAGUGGCGGACGGGUGAGUAACACGUGAGCAAUCUAUCCCGUUGCGGGGGACAACGAGGGGAAACCUUCGCUAAUACCGCAUGGUCGGGAGAAUCGAUGAUUCUUCCGGGAAACGUGGCCUCUUUACAAUGCUACGGCGGCAGGAGGAGCUCGCGGGCUAUCAGCUUGUUGGUGAGGUAACGGCUCACCAAGGCGACGACGGCUACGGGGUCUGAGAGGACGACCCCGCACRUUGGAACUGAAACACGGUCCAGACUCCUACGGGAGGCAGC